This 538-nucleotide long non-coding RNA is filed under the name Lathyrus oleraceus (garden pea). Its description in RNAcentral is "Pisum sativum (pea) long non-coding RNA (PSAT_LNC010077)". The record is from RNAcentral. Lineage: Eukaryota; Viridiplantae; Streptophyta; Magnoliopsida; Fabales; Fabaceae.
UUGUGAGUCUCAGAGUACUCCUCCAUGAGUUGUAUGGAACAAGUUGAAGUGUUUGAAGUCCUUUUAAUCCUCUUAUUAUUUGUUGCAUUUGUUUUGGGCUUGUUGCGUUUUGUGCGUUUGUUUCCCAUUGUAGCUGGAGAAUUUUGUUUUAUUUAAUUGUUUGUGCUUGAUUGAUCCAUGUAGAAUGCAAUUCUAAUGUCAAUGGAUUUUUAAAGUUGUAAAGGUUUUGGAAACUGGAGUAACUAGCUUGUAAGUAAAGUAAGUAAUGAUGAUUUUGUAUGCUCAAUGUACUUCAAAAAAGGAACUUUCGGUGUCAUGCUAAAGUUGUAAUAAAUGUCUGAAUUAGUCUUUUUAUUUUAAAAAUAAUUGUAAGUUACUUUUUAAUGUAAUUAAAUAAAAGAUUUUUGCAUUGAGGAUAACCGAGGUCGAGCCCAAAAACAAUGGCAAUGAUGAAUCUUCAGAGGAGAGUGAAAAUGACUCUGAUGAUCUUGUUCCUUUGUAUUGGGAGAAAACUAUUAUAUAUGCUUUAAAGGCAAAA